UACAGAGGGUGCGAGCGUUAAUCGGAAUUGCUGGGCGUAAAGCGCGCGUAGGCGGCUUUGCAAGUCGAGUGUGAAAUCCCCGGGCUUAACCCGGGAACUGCAUUCGAGACUGCAUAGCUAGAGUAUGGGAGAGGGAAGUGGAAUUUCAGGUGUAGCGGUGAAAUGCGUAGAUAUCUGAAGGAACAUCAGUGGCGAAAGCGACUUCCUGGACCAAUACUGACGCUCAUGUGCGAAAGCGUGGGGAGCAAACAGGAUUAGAAACCCCCGUAGUCC
This 273-nucleotide ribosomal RNA is filed under the name uncultured bacterium. RNAcentral's name for it is "partial 16S ribosomal RNA". It matches the Rfam family "Bacterial small subunit ribosomal RNA", at positions 524 to 796 of the family's 1533-position model. The record is from RNAcentral.